UUUAUGGAGAGUUUGAUCCUGGCUCAGGAUGAACGCUGGCGGCGUGCCUAAUACAUGCAAGUCGAGCGAACAGAUAAGGAGCUUGCUCCUUUGACGUUAGCGGCGGACGGGUGAGUAACACGUGGGUAACCUACCUAUAAGACUGGGAUAACUUCGGGAAACCGGAGCUAAUACCGGAUAACAUUUGGAACCGCAUGGUUCUAAAGUGAAAGAUGGUUUUGCUAUCACUUAUAGAUGGACCCGCGCCGUAUUAGCUAGUUGGUAAGGUAACGGCUUACCAAGGCGACGAUACGUAGCCGACCUGAGAGGGUGAUCGGCCACACUGGAACUGAGACACGGUCCAGACUCCUACGGGAGGCAGCAGUAGGGAAUCUUCCGCAAUGGGCGAAAGCCUGACGGAGCAACGCCGCGUGAGUGAUGAAGGGUUUCGGCUCGUAAAACUCUGUUAUUAGGGAAGAACAAAUGUGUAAGUAACUGUGCACGUCUUGACGGUACCUAAUCAGAAAGCCACGGCUAACUACGUGCCAGCAGCCGCGGUAAUACGUAGGUGGCAAGCGUUAUCCGGAAUUAUUGGGCGUAAAGCGCGCGUAGGCGGUUUCUUAAGUCUGAUGUGAAAGCCCACGGCUCAACCGUGGAGGGUCAUUGGAAACUGGGAAACUUGAGUGCAGAAGAGGAAAGUGGAAUUCCAUGUGUAGCGGUGAAAUGCGCAGAGAUAUGGAGGAACACCAGUGGCGAAGGCGACUUUCUGGUCUGUAACUGACGCUGAUGUGCGAAAGCGUGGGGAUCAAACAGGAUUAGAUACCCUGGUAGUCCACGCCGUAAACGAUGAGUGCUAAGUGUUAGGGGGUUUCCGCCCCUUAGUGCUGCAGCUAACGCAUUAAGCACUCCGCCUGGGGAGUACGACCGCAAGGUUGAAACUCAAAGGAAUUGACGGGGACCCGCACAAGCGGUGGAGCAUGUGGUUUAAUUCGAAGCAACGCGAAGAACCUUACCAAAUCUUGACAUCCUUUGAAAACUCUAGAGGAGCCUUCCCCUUCGGGGGACAAAGUGACAGGUGGUGCAUGGUUGUCGUCAGCUCGUGUCGUGAGAUGUUGGGUUAAGUCCCGCAACGAGCGCAACCCUUAAGCUUAGUUGCCAUCAUUAAGUUGGGCACUCUAGGUUGACUGCCGGUGACAAACCGGAGGAAGGUGGGGAUGACGUCAAAUCAUCAUGCCCCUUAUGAUUUGGGCUACACACGUGCUACAAUGGACAAUACAAAGGGCAGCUAAACCGCGAGGUCAUGCAAAUCCCAUAAAGUUGUUCUCAGUUCGGAUUGUAGUCUGCAACUCGACUACAUGAAGCUGGAAUCGCUAGUAAUCGUAGAUCAGCAUCUACGGUGAAUACGUUCCCGGGUCUU
RNAcentral lists this ribosomal RNA (1396 nucleotides) under Staphylococcus saprophyticus. RNAcentral describes it as "bacterial SSU rRNA". It matches the Rfam family "Bacterial small subunit ribosomal RNA". The record is from RNAcentral. Lineage: Bacteria; Bacillati; Bacillota; Bacilli; Caryophanales; Staphylococcaceae.